UACGUAGGGUGCGAGCGUUGUCCGGAAUUAUUGGGCGUAAAGAGCUCGUAGGCGGUCUGUCGCGUCGGUCGUGAAAACUUGGGGCUUAACCCUGAGCUUGCGGUCGAUACGGGCAUGACUGGAGUUCGGCAGGGGAGACUGGAAUUCCUGGUGUAGCGGUGAAAUGCGCAGAUAUCAGGAAGAACACCGGUGGCGAAGGCGGCCCUCUGGACAGAUACUGACGCUGAGACGCGAAAGCGUGGGGAGCAAACAGG
RNAcentral lists this ribosomal RNA (254 nucleotides) under uncultured bacterium. Its description in RNAcentral is "partial 16S ribosomal RNA". It matches the Rfam family "Bacterial small subunit ribosomal RNA", at positions 524 to 776 of the family's 1533-position model. The record is from RNAcentral.